Long non-coding RNA from Pomacea canaliculata, 871 nucleotides. RefSeq lists it as uncharacterized. The record is from RefSeq and is a predicted model, not a curated record. The transcript has 3 exons. Lineage: Eukaryota; Metazoa; Mollusca; Gastropoda; Architaenioglossa; Ampullariidae.
UUGUUGGAUUGUUGGUGGAUUAGAGGUGCACUGGAGUGCAUUAACAGCCCCAGUACCGAGUUUAACAAGAUUGUCAACAGAAGCCUCAAAUUAACACUCAGACAAGUGACGUCCAACCGUACAGGAAUAUAUGCUUGUCAAGUGGCUGGAUACGAACCACGCUAUUUCAAAACCUGCGAUUUGCAAACUAGGACAGAUAACAAGAUCACGUGCACUGUACCCUCUGUAAAUCCCCUUGAGGACACAGUUCUGACCUGUCACUUCUCAGAAGACGUCAGUGUCAGCAAGAAGGGUUUCACUGUCUAUCACUAUGCCAAAGAUGUCAGUCCAGGUGAGGAAGCAACCAUUUUGAAAAAAAUACGUUAUUAGUAUACACAGUCUCUUCCUUUCCGUCACUCUUUCUCUCUCUCAAAAUUGAUGAAUUUCACACUAGGCUGGGAUUUAAAAAAAAGAAAAAAACAGACAUCGUCACAAUCUACAAAUCCGCCAGGAGAUAUUAGAAAUCUGAAAUGCAAACAUCCAGUGAAAAAUAGAAGGAGAUGAAGUAAGUAUAUAUUGUUGUCCUUUCAACAGAUGCUGUAUUAGACUGUUUGUGGGUCAGUGAUAGACUCAAGUGCGUUCAGAGCCCGGGUGUUGAGUAUGAGGUUGUCAACAGCGAUCUUAAAUUAACUUUCCGACGGGUGACUUCAAACCAUACAGGAACCUAUUCUUGUUAUUUGGAUGGCUACCACAUUGAAACCUGUGACUUUCAAGUUGAAAAAGCUGUUGGAAAGGUCGAUGAACCUCACAACACUCUAGCGAUCGUACUGGGGUUGUUGGUUUCGAUGUUAUUAGUGGCUGCAGCAAUCGUCUUACUACUAGUUUAUAAAGG